CGCGCAGGCGGGAUAUCAAGUCUAUCUUAAAAGUGCGGGGCUCAACCCCGUGAUGGGAUGGAAACUGGUAUUCUUGAGUAUCGGAGAGGAAAGUGGAAUUCCCAGUGUAGCGGUGAAAUGCGUAGAUAUUGGGAGGAACACCAGUGGCGAAGGCGACUUUCUGGACGAUGUCUGACGCUGAGGCGCGAAAGCCAGGGUAGUGAACGGGAUUAGAUACCCCGGUAAUCCUGGCCGUAAACGAUGGGUACUAGGUGUAGGAGGUAUCGACCCCUUCUGUGCCGGAGUUAACGCAAUAAGUACCCCGCCUGGGGAGUACGGCCGCAAGGUUGAA
RNAcentral lists this ribosomal RNA (331 nucleotides) under uncultured bacterium. RNAcentral describes it as "bacterial SSU rRNA". It matches the Rfam family "Bacterial small subunit ribosomal RNA", at positions 568 to 898 of the family's 1533-position model. The record is from RNAcentral.